Molecule: ribosomal RNA, 206 nt
Filed under: uncultured bacterium
Lineage: Bacteria
Description: partial 16S ribosomal RNA
Rfam family: Bacterial small subunit ribosomal RNA
Source: RNAcentral
CACGCAGGCGGUCUUUUAAGUUUGACGUGAAAGCUCCCGGCUUAACUGGGAGAGGUCGUUGAAGACUGGAAGACUUGAGGCAAUGAGAGGGGUGUAGAAUUCCCGGUGUAGUGGUGGAAUGCGUAGAUAUCGGGGGGAAUACCAGUGGCGAAAGCGGCACCCUAGCGUUAGCCUGACGCUCAUGUGCGAAAGCGUGGGGAGCAACG